GUUGGUUAGUUGUGCAUUUUC
Molecule: microRNA, 21 nt
Filed under: Schmidtea mediterranea
Lineage: Eukaryota; Metazoa; Platyhelminthes; Tricladida; Dugesiidae
Description: sme-miR-277d-5p
Gene: sme-miR-277d-5p
Source: miRBase by way of RNAcentral